AUGGAUAGUGACAUUUUUUGGAAGUGCAAAAAUGACGCAAAACCACAGGGUAUUUACAGGUUUAUAAGAAUGAACGAUUUGGAAAAUGUAAUUAAUUAUGAUGGAAUAUUACAAGAAAUAAAAUUAGAGAAUUGUGAACUAUUAAAUUAUUUAAUUAGAGAAUAUAAUUUAAAAGCGAUUUUAACUUAUAUUAUUGAGGAAGCAGUAGGAGAUAAUUGUUCUUAUGACCGUACACAUAAGUUACCUUAUAAAUGCCAUCAGAUUAUAAUUAGCGAACAUAAAUUAAUAUCGGAUUCAAUUGUAUAUAAUGAAGAGCUUAUGGAUUAUUUUUGGAGUUUUUUAUUGUCAAAAAAACAAUUAAAUGAAGUAUUAGCUGGAUAUUUUUGUAGAUGUGCUAUAGCUCUUUAUAACAAAAAUACAAGAGGAGUAGUAGAUUUUUUAAAAAAAAAAAAAGAAUUAUAUUUGAAAGCUUUUUUAUAUCAUUUUUAUUCCAGAAAUAUAACUGAACUAUUUAAAGUUUUAUUAUUUGUUAAAAUUCCAUAUUUAUGUAUAUUUGAUAAUAAAAAUAUUAUAUUUUAUAUAUUAAGUAAUUUGAAUGGUAAUUUUUCAAAAAACAAUUAUAUCAUUUCUGAUAGAGAAGAUAAUAUUACUUGUUUAUUAAGAGAUAUAUUUGUAAGAAAAGCAGAAAUAUAUUAUUUUAAUUAUUUUUUAAUUGAUUUAUCAUCUCAAAUGACUUUUUCUUAUUUAAUUAAAUGUGUCUUUUCUAAUUGUCCUUACACUAUAUCUGCUGCUAUAACUAUUAUAUCCGAUUUAUUACAUUAUACAGUCUUAUCAAAAACAUGUAACAAUAUUGAUUUUUAUGAAUGUUUAGAAAUUUAUAAUAAAGAAGAAGAAUUAAGAGAAAAUGAAAAGAGAGUCGAAUCAAUGAUAUCGCAACAAGACAAAAAAAAUAAUAAAAAAAAAAUGUUAAAAAAUAAUAUGAAAAUUAAAACAAUAGAUGGUGUAAAAAAAAAAAAAAAAAAAAAAAAAAAAAAACAAUCCAAAUAA
RNAcentral lists this long non-coding RNA (1047 nucleotides) under Piliocolobus tephrosceles (Ugandan red Colobus). RNAcentral's name for it is "lncRNA (ENSPTEG00000014864.1)". The record is from RNAcentral. Lineage: Eukaryota; Metazoa; Chordata; Mammalia; Primates; Cercopithecidae.